GCCAGGCACAGUGGUGUGUGCCUGUAGUCCCAGCUACUCAGGAAGCUGAGGUGGGAGGAUCACUUGAGCCCAGGAGUCCUGGGGUAUAGUGUGCUAUGCUGAUUGGAUGUCUGCACUAAGUUCAGCAUCAAUAUGGUGACCUCCAGGGUGUGGGGGACCACGAGGUUGCCUAAGGAAGGGUGAACCAGCCCAGGUCGGAAACGUAGCAGGUCAAAACUCCCAUGCUUAUCAGUAGUGGGAUUGCACCUGUGAAUAGCACUGCACUCCAGCCUGGGCAACAUAACGAGACCCUGUCUCU
Molecule: signal recognition particle RNA, 298 nt
Filed under: Cebus imitator (Panamanian white-faced capuchin)
Lineage: Eukaryota; Metazoa; Chordata; Mammalia; Primates; Cebidae
Description: Metazoan signal recognition particle RNA (ENSCCAG00000001867.1)
Rfam family: Metazoan signal recognition particle RNA
About the family: The signal recognition particle (SRP) is a universally conserved ribonucleoprotein.
Source: RNAcentral